UUUUUUUUUUUUUUUUUGUUAUAUAAAAAUUUUUAUUGUUGUCUUAAGCAUUUUAUAGGUAAUGAUUGAUAUUUCACUCAUCUGAAGUAUCCCUUACGGAACUUGAGGUUCAACCAAGAUUGUUCUAUUCAUAAAAAAACUCUUACGCCAGGGGCAAGGGCAAAAUUCUUCUACCAAUUAGCUAUAAUCACAUAAUUUUUUUGCAUUUAAGUGCUAAAUGCAACAAUUAGACCUUGAGCUUCAGAAUAUUAAAGUUUGAUAAGGAUUCUGCUUUCAUUCUAAGAAAUUCAAUUUUAAUUGGGAAAAAACAACUGCAGAGUCUCUGGUCCAACCAAAUAAUUUAUUUUUCAUUCCUAAGGGGAAAAAGUUUCAUUACUGCUAAAAAAUCUAACAAAGAACUUUUUAAGGUCACCAGUCUUAGUUUAAUUGGGUAACAAUUGUAUUAUACCUUUGAAUACUGAUAAUGCCAUUAAAUUCAGUGGCAUAUACAUACAUUAAUUUAUCACAAAAAUGCCAAGAAAUCGUUAGCUAUCCAAGGAAACAGUAAUUCUACAAGCCAACCUCAACUCAACUUCAAUCCACUAGCCUUCUAAUCUAGAAGGCUAUGGGUUCAAUCUACAUCUAGUGAUUUUAGAAAGUGAAGCAUCAAGCAU
This 653-nucleotide unclassified non-coding RNA is filed under the name Hevea brasiliensis (rubber tree). Lineage: Eukaryota; Viridiplantae; Streptophyta; Magnoliopsida; Malpighiales; Euphorbiaceae. The record is from RNAcentral.